GUUUGUGCUCCCCGUACGUCUUCCCCCAGGAAUGCUUCGAGGUGUAUGGCCUCUCCAAGGCUUUCCGAUUAAACUUGAAUUCUAGCUCACUCUUCUGGAACUUAGCACAAUCAGCCCCACACUCCUACAACACACAUUAGGACAUCUUUCAGUGACUGUCGUAGAUUCUCAAAAAAAGGAAAAAAUUCUGGAGCAACCACUAUGACAUCACCAUCUUUAU
This 220-nucleotide long non-coding RNA is filed under the name Homo sapiens (human). Its description in RNAcentral is "HSALNT0353996". Lineage: Eukaryota; Metazoa; Chordata; Mammalia; Primates; Hominidae. The record is from RNAcentral.